Molecule: long non-coding RNA, 383 nt
Organism: Agrilus planipennis (emerald ash borer)
Lineage: Eukaryota; Metazoa; Arthropoda; Insecta; Coleoptera; Buprestidae
Exons: 2
Source: RefSeq, a predicted model, not a curated record
UUGUUUCACUUGUAAUCGCUAAAUAAGUUUGUAAAUAUUCAACAAUUGAACCUACGCCACUGUGAGCCUUAUAGAGAGGGGAUUCGAACUGCUAUAAAAUUAUAUUAUUCAUUUAUCGUGGAAACCGCGUAAAGAUAAGUCGCUUUCUUCUUUAUGUCUCAUCGAAACUUACGUAAUCAUUGUUGCGGGCUUGAAGUGCAAUGAGCGGCAGAAGAAGUAGUGUGAGUGAUUACCCGGAACAUUUAAAUCCCUUUUACGAAGGUAGUGACAAGUGGCUCUUUUGGGGUAAAAUAAAAAGAUCAGGAUCAUUUUCUAAUUCCUUAAAGGACUUGAGAAACACAAUAACUCUUCGGUCAUUUAGAGGACAUAAAAAACCAAAGUAU